UCCUGACUGACCGAUAGUGAACCAGUACCGUGAGGGAAAGGCGAAAAGAACCCCGGCGAGGGGAGUGAAAAAGAACCUGAAACCGUGUACGUACAAGCAGUGGGAGCACGCUUAGGCGUGUGACUGCGUACCUUUUGUAUAAUGGGUCAGCGACUUAUAUUCUGUAGCAAGGUUAACCGAAUAGGGGAGCCGAAGGGAAACCGAGUCUUAACUGGGCGUUAAGUUGCAGGGUAUAGACCCGAAACCCGGUGAUCUAGCCAUGGGCAGGUUGAAGGUUGGGUAACACUAACUGGAGGACCGAACCGACUAAUGUUGAAAAAUUAGCGGAUGACUUGUGGCUGGGGGUGAAAGGCCAAUCAAACCGGGAGAUAGCUGGUUCUCCCCGAAAGCUAUUUAGGUAGCGCCUCGUGAAUUCAUCUCCGGGGGUAGAGCACUGUUUCGGCAAGGGGGUCAUCCCGACUUACCAACCCGAUGCAAACUGCGAAUACCGGAGAAUGUUAUCACGGGAGACACACGGCGGGUGCUAACGUCCGUCGUGAAGAGGGAAACAACCCAGACCGCCAGCUAAGGUCCCAAAGUCAUGGUUAAGUGGGAAACGAUGUGGGAAGGCCCAGACAGCCAGGAUGUUGGCUUAGAAGCAGCCAUCAUUUAAAGAAAGCGUAAUAGCUCACUGGUCGAGUCGGCCUGCGCGGAAGAUGUAACGGGGCUAAACCAUGCACCGAAGCUGCGGCAGCGACGCUUAUGCGUUGUUGGGUAGGGGAGCGUUCUGUAAGCCUGCGAAGGUGUGCUGUGAGGCAUGCUGGAGGUAUCAGAAGUGCGAAUGCUGACAUAAGUAACGAUAAAGCGGGUGAAAAGCCCGCUCGCCGGAAGACCAAGGGUUCCUGUCCAACGUUAAUCGGGGCAGGGUGAGUCGACCCCUAAGACGAGGCCGAAAGGCGUAGUCGAUGGGAAACAGGUUAAUAUUCCUGUACUUGGUGUUACUGCGAAGGGGGGACGGAGAAGGCUAUGUUGGCCGGGCGACGGUUGUCCCGGUUUAAGCGUGUAGGCUGGUUUUCCAGGCAAAUCCGGAAAAUCAAGGCUGAGGCGUGAUGACGAGGCACUACGGUGCUGAAGCAACAAAUGCCCUGCUUCCAGGAAAAGCCUCUAAGCAUCAGGUAACAUCAAAUCGUACCCCAAACCGACACAGGUGGUCAGGUAGAGAAUACCAAGGCGCUUGAGAGAACUCGGGUGAAGGAACUAGGCAAAAUGGUGCCGUAACUUCGGGAGAAGGCAC
This 1273-nucleotide ribosomal RNA is filed under the name Shigella sonnei. Its description in RNAcentral is "partial 23S ribosomal RNA". It matches the Rfam family "Bacterial large subunit ribosomal RNA", at positions 474 to 1749 of the family's 2925-position model. The record is from RNAcentral. Lineage: Bacteria; Pseudomonadati; Pseudomonadota; Gammaproteobacteria; Enterobacterales; Enterobacteriaceae.